GGAGGUCCUAGCUUUCUUAGUUGCACUAAAGAUCAACAUAACAAAUACGGAAGCAAACGACUGUAGGGCAUUGUAACAGGGUCAAGCCUUCUCUUAGGACUUCUCUUCCUUUGCUGACUUUGUCGGUAGUAUCGUUGUUGUUGUUGUUGUUGGGGAGCAUAUUGUUGCUGAUACGGGGCUGGUUGUUGACCGACCCGUUGAUCAG
This 205-nucleotide long non-coding RNA is filed under the name Lathyrus oleraceus (garden pea). RNAcentral's name for it is "Pisum sativum (pea) long non-coding RNA (PSAT_LNC023006)". The record is from RNAcentral. Lineage: Eukaryota; Viridiplantae; Streptophyta; Magnoliopsida; Fabales; Fabaceae.